Sander lucioperca (pikeperch) is the source of this 156-nucleotide long non-coding RNA. RefSeq lists it as uncharacterized. Lineage: Eukaryota; Metazoa; Chordata; Actinopteri; Perciformes; Percidae. The transcript has 3 exons. The record is from RefSeq and is a predicted model, not a curated record.
UCUCUGCCCUUCUCCCUCUCUAUUCUCCUCACUCCUUUGUGCUGUCAACCAGAAGGCAAAUGUAAUCAACUAAUCAACAGAGAAUGUAUCGUGUGGCUACCAAAGUAGAGCUGAUGAAGGUCCUGCUUCUGCCGAAAACAUGUUUGUCAAUUUGAU